AGUGAACGCUGGCGGCGUGCUUAACACAUGCAAGUCGAACGAGAACGGAUUAUAGCUUGCUAUAAUUGUCAGCUAAGUGGCGCACGGGUGAGUAAUAUAUAGGUAAUGUGCCCCAAAGAAGAGGAUAACAUUUGGAAACGGAUGCUAAUACUCUAUAUGCCUUUAAGACAAAAGUCUGCAAGGGAAAUAUUUAUAGCUUUGGGAUCGGCCUGUACGGUAUCAGCUUGUUGGUGAGGUAAUGGCUCACCAAGGCAAUGACACCUAACUGGUUUGAGAGGAUGAUCAGUCACACUGGAACUGAGACACGGUCCAGACUCCUACGGGAGGCAGCAGUGGGGAAUAUUGCACAAUGGACGAAAGUCUGAUGCAGCAACGCCGCGUGGAGGAUGACACAUUUCGGUGCGUAAACUCCUUUUAUAUAUGAAGAUAAUGACGGUAAUAUAUGAAUAAGCACCGGCUAACUCCG
This 466-nucleotide ribosomal RNA is filed under the name uncultured Arcobacter sp. RNAcentral describes it as "bacterial SSU rRNA". It matches the Rfam family "Bacterial small subunit ribosomal RNA", at positions 29 to 505 of the family's 1533-position model. Lineage: Bacteria; Pseudomonadati; Campylobacterota; Epsilonproteobacteria; Campylobacterales; Arcobacteraceae. The record is from RNAcentral.